Paramuricea clavata is the source of this 768-nucleotide non-coding RNA. NCBI's taxonomy places the organism in Eukaryota, Metazoa, Cnidaria, Anthozoa, Malacalcyonacea, Plexauridae. The record is from the annotation of a GenBank genome assembly.
UGUAAGAUAUUUAAAAUAGGAUAAUCACUUUAAGAUAUCAUAUGGAGCAUAAGGACUGCCUUGGGCUUGCAUCUAGUCCUUAAGUUUGUUUUAUUAUAUAGCAAGUAUAUUAGUAAUGACAUAAGCAAUGUUAUUAUUAUUAAUAUUACUUAAUGACCGGACAUAAGCAAUGUGGAUUGACUUUUUUAUGAUACGCUGUACUAAUAAAGGAAAGCUUCAAUAAAUUUCUUUACUAGCUUUAAUUCAUUGAGCGGUUUUCUAAUUCCCAAGACACCAGAGUCCGUUUUAUAGUUUCGUAAUUCCCUGAUUCCCGUUUAUCCUGUCGAAUUUCUGUUUCUUUUUUUCUGUUCUUUUCCCCCCGUACAUAUGAUUAAUAUUACGUAUUAAUAAUAAUUCAUAAUUGCUCGAUCCCCCCCCCCGUUACUCGUUCCUCCAUUCCCCGUUCUCCGUUCCCUCCAUUCCCUGUUCCUCCAUUCCCCGUUCCCCCAUUCCGCGUUUUUCGACGGAAAAGACGAUCUUUUUGCCUGUAUUCAAUCUACAAACACUAAAAACAAGUUUACUAGUCGUAUUUUACUCGUAUGUACUCGUAUUCUACUCGUAUGUACUUGUGUUUUACUCGUAUGUUACUCGUAUGUACUCGUGUGUUACUCGUAUGUACUCGUAUGUUACUCGUAUGUACUUGUGUGUUACUCGUAUGUACUCGUAUGUACUCGUGUGUUACUCGUAUGUUACUCGUAUGCACUCGUGUGGUGUUUUAGUCACGAUCCG